Molecule: ribosomal RNA, 255 nt
Filed under: Streptococcus equi
Lineage: Bacteria; Bacillati; Bacillota; Bacilli; Lactobacillales; Streptococcaceae
Description: partial 23S ribosomal RNA
Rfam family: Bacterial large subunit ribosomal RNA
Source: RNAcentral
AAAAGCUUCUAGCGAUACGUAUACUCUACCCGUACCGCAAACCGACACAGGUAGUCGAGGCGAGUAGCCUCAGGUGAUCGAGAGAACUCUCGUUAAGGAACUCGGCAAAAUGGCCCCGUAACUUCGGAAGAAGGGGCGCUGACUGAAGGUCAGCCGCAGUGAAUAGGCCCAAGCAACUGUUUAUCAAAAACACAGCUCUCUGCUAAAUCGUAAGAUGAUGUAUAGGGGGUGACGCCUGCCCGGUGCUGGAAGGUU